GGAGGGAGUAGCCGUUUAAUGCCGUUGAAACCAAACGCGGGUGGCUGUAACCCACUUCCUCACGGUUCGGGGGUUCAGAAUCCCUCCCCCUCCACCA
RNAcentral lists this transfer RNA (97 nucleotides) under Mycoplasmopsis bovis. Its description in RNAcentral is "Mycoplasma bovis tRNA-Tyr". The record is from RNAcentral. Lineage: Bacteria; Bacillati; Mycoplasmatota; Mycoplasmoidales; Metamycoplasmataceae.